This 262-nucleotide unclassified non-coding RNA is filed under the name fungal sp. Its description in RNAcentral is "partial internal transcribed spacer region". The stretch from base 1 to 45 matches the Rfam family "Eukaryotic small subunit ribosomal RNA", at positions 1787 to 1831 of the family's 1831-position model. Lineage: Eukaryota; Fungi. The record is from RNAcentral.
AGUCGUAACAAGGUUUCCGUAGGUGAACCUGCGGAAGGAUCAUUAACGUGCAUCCAUCUCAAUUGAUGAAAUCGACAGUGGAAAACGAAAAAAAAUAUUAAAAUGACACGAAGCGAAGGAGUGAUAGAGGGGAGACUCUCUUUCUCUUUUGCUUUGUUCAUUUUGAAACCACCACAUUCACCAAAACCAUUUGAAAAAACCCAUUCUCACUAAUUUGAAAAAAAAAGUCUGACGACUUUCAACGGUGGAUCUCUUGGCUCGU